This 239-nucleotide long non-coding RNA is filed under the name Solanum tuberosum (potato). Its description in RNAcentral is "long non-coding RNA (STUB_LNC001113)". The record is from RNAcentral. Lineage: Eukaryota; Viridiplantae; Streptophyta; Magnoliopsida; Solanales; Solanaceae.
CCAUGUAUCUUCAAGCUAAGCAAGUAAAGAAGAAGGCUGGAUAUAUGUGGAACAUUUCAAAUUUCGAGAUUCAAAUAAGUUUUAUCAUCAACUUCAUCAUUAUUUUUGUGGUACUUUAUUUACAGUCUUCCUGGAACAGAGAACUAAAUCCUAAUUCAGAACAUUUAUAUCUGCCUAUUAUAAACAUGUUACUGUAUGACGACACUAUUAAUUAUUAAAAUGAGAGCUUGCAAAANNNN